This 550-nucleotide ribosomal RNA is filed under the name uncultured Acidobacteriota bacterium. RNAcentral describes it as "SSU rRNA". It matches the Rfam family "Bacterial small subunit ribosomal RNA", at positions 242 to 795 of the family's 1533-position model. The record is from RNAcentral. Lineage: Bacteria; Pseudomonadati; Acidobacteriota.
CAGCUAGUUGGUAGGGUAACGGCCUACCAAGGCUUUGAUCGUUAGCUGGUCUGAGAGGAUGGCCAGCCACACUGGAACUGAGACACGGUCCAGACUCCUACGGGAGGCAGCAGUGGGGAAUCUUGCACAAUGGGCGAAAGCCUGAUGCAGCGACGCCGCGUGGGGGAUGAAGCAUCUCGGUGUGUAAACCCCUUUCGACUGGGACGAAUGCCUCGCAAGAGGAGUGACGGUACCAGUAGAAGAAGCCCCGGCUAACUACGUGCCAGCAGCCGCGGUAAGACGUGGGGGGCCAGCGUUGUUCGGAAUUACUGGGUGUAAAGGGUUCGUAGGCGGUGUGGCAAGUUGGGAGUGAAAUCUCUGGGCUCAACCCAGAGACUGCUUCCAAAACUGCUGUGCUUGAGUGUGGGAGAGGCGCGUGGAAUUGCAGGUGUAGCGGUGAAAUGCGUAGAUAUCUGCAGGAACACCCGUGGCGAAAGCGGCGCGCUGGACCACAACUGACGCUGAGGAACGAAAGCUAGGGGAGCAAACAGGAUUAGAUACCCUGGUAGUC